CUAGCGGCGGACGGGUGAGUAAUGCGUAGGAAGCUGCCCGAUAGAGGGGGAUACCAGUUGGAAACGACUGUUAAUACCGCAUAAUGUCUACGGACCAAAGUGUGGGACCUUCGGGCCACAUGCUAUCGGAUGCGCCUACGUGGGAUUAGCUAGUUGGUGAGGUAAUGGCUCACCAAGGCGACGAUCUCUAGCUGGUUUGAGAGGAUGAUCAGCCACACUGGAACUGAGACACGGUCCAGACUCCUACGGGAGGCAGCAGUGGGGAAUAUUGGACAAUGGGCGCGAGCCUGAUCCAGCCAUGCCGCGUGUGUGAAGAAGGCCUUCGGGUUGUAAAGCACUUUCAGCGAGGAGGAAGGGUGGUGUGUUAAUAGCACAUCAUUUUGACGUUACUCGCAGAAGAAGCACCGGCUAACUCUGUGCCAGCAGCCGCGGUAAUACAGAGGGUGCAAGCGUUAAUCGGAAUUACUGGGCGUAAAGCGCACGUAGGCGGUUUUUUAAGUCAGAUGUGAAAGCCCCGGGCUCAACCUGGGAAUUGCAUUUGAAACUGGAAAACUAGAGUGUGUGAGAGGGGGGUAGAAUUCCAAGUGUAGCGGUGAAAUGCGUAGAGAUUUGGAGGAAUACCAGUGGCGAAGGCGGCCCCCUGGCACAACACUGACGCUCAGGUGCGAAAGCGUGGGGAGCAAACAGGAUUAGAUACCCU
This 700-nucleotide ribosomal RNA is filed under the name uncultured Gammaproteobacteria bacterium. RNAcentral's name for it is "bacterial SSU rRNA". It matches the Rfam family "Bacterial small subunit ribosomal RNA", at positions 92 to 788 of the family's 1533-position model. Lineage: Bacteria; Pseudomonadati; Pseudomonadota; Gammaproteobacteria. The record is from RNAcentral.